AGUGAACGCUGGCGGUAGGCCUAACACAUGCAAGUCGAACGGCAGCACAGUAAGAGCUUGCUCUUACGGGUGGCGAGUGGCGGACGGGUGAGGAAUACAUCGGAAUCUACUUUUUCGUGGGGGAUAACGUAGGGAAACUUACGCUAAUACCGCAUACGCCCUACGGGUGAAAGCAGGGGAUCUUCGGACCUUGCGCGAUUGAAUGAGCCGAUGUCGGAUUAGCUAGUUGGCGGGGUAAAGGCCCACCAAGGCGACGAUCCGUAGCUGGUCUGAGAGGAUGAUCAGCCACACUGGAACUGAGACACGGUCCAGACUCCUACGGGAGGCAGCAGUGGGGAAUAUUGGACAAUGGGGGCAAGCCUGAUCCAGCCAUACCGCGUGGGUGAAGAAGGCCUUCGGGUUGUAAAGCCGUUUUGUUGGGAAAGAAAAGCAGCAGGCUAAUACCCCGCGGGUCUGACGGUACCCGAAGAAUAAGCACCGGCUAACUUCGUG
Molecule: ribosomal RNA, 492 nt
Filed under: uncultured bacterium
Lineage: Bacteria
Description: partial 16S ribosomal RNA
Rfam family: Bacterial small subunit ribosomal RNA
Source: RNAcentral